GGAAUCCCACCGGGCAAGGUUUAGCCAACCACCCGUAGCCAGCCUUGGAGCAUAGCUGGUAACAGCUAUGUUUAAGCGUAGGCAGGCGAGACAGCGGGCCGAAAGCCGCAAGGUUGAAGGGAUUGAGCUUCGAAAUGGUGCGAGAUGGGAAGGCCGAUUCUUUCC
Syntrophaceticus schinkii is the source of this 165-nucleotide non-coding RNA. Lineage: Bacteria; Bacillati; Bacillota; Clostridia; Thermoanaerobacterales; Thermoanaerobacterales Family III. Incertae Sedis. The record is from Rfam.